AAAGGGAGACCUAAUUCGGGUAUAAGACGAAAAAAUAGUAGUCGAAACCAAGAAUCAAUCCCAAAAGGUCGGAACGAGGUAUGUGGCUUUCAAACUAGGUUCUGGGUUCAUAAAAGACCUGAAUCAGGAACAAGGGCUAUUAGCUCAGGUGGUUAGAGCGCACCCCUGAUAAGGGUGAGGUCCCUGGUUCGAGUCCAGGAUGGCCCACCUGCACAGGUGGCAAAAACAAAGAAAAGAAGCGAGGAAUCAGCACCUUAUCUUACUUAUAUAGUAAGAGAGAAUGCUGGCUCUGAGUACAGAGUCCGGAGGAACCUUGAAAACUGCAUAGAGCUAGGUGAAAAAGCCAAAAAAGAAGACCGCAAG
Molecule: transfer RNA, 363 nt
Filed under: uncultured Microcystis sp.
Lineage: Bacteria; Bacillati; Cyanobacteriota; Cyanophyceae; Chroococcales; Microcystaceae
Description: partial 16S-23S ribosomal RNA intergenic spacer
Rfam family: tRNA (bases 134-207)
Source: RNAcentral